CCCUAUGGGGUGCACCAAUACCGUUCUUUGCAUAGGUCUUUUUGUAGCUCCACGAAUCCGGGUCAUUCCCCUGCUUUCGUAUCCAUGUUUGUUUUAAAGGAAUGUAAAGGUUGAUGCCCCAAGGUACUAUCCCUUGAGGUACGCAAUCUUGAAAGCCUGACACUCUCAAAUCAUCCCAGUUUGUGUCUAAGGUAGCUAUGGGGAAUAUCGCCUCGUUAGAGGCACCGUCCAAUGCUCCGGCGGCUUCUGAAUACCAAAGACGAUGAAGAUGGUCUUCUUCAAUCAUGAACACUCGGCCAUAGUGAAAGGCAAUAUAUCGAGAAACAGGCGGGAGAGC
RNAcentral lists this ribosomal RNA (337 nucleotides) under uncultured prokaryote. RNAcentral describes it as "partial 16S ribosomal RNA". The record is from RNAcentral.